UACGAAGGGGGCUAGCGUUGCUCGGAAUUACUGGGCGUAAAGGGCGCGUAGGCGGAUAUUUAAGUCGGGGGUGAAAGCCCAGGGCUCAACCCUGGAACAGCCUUCGAUACUGGAUAUCUUGAGUACGGGAGAGGUGUGUGGAACUCCGAGUGUAGAGGUGAAAUUCGUAGAUAUUCGGAAGAACACCAGUGGCGAAGGCGACACACUGGCCCGUUACUGACGCUGAGGCGCGAAAGCGUGGGGAGCAAACAGG
This 253-nucleotide ribosomal RNA is filed under the name uncultured bacterium. Its description in RNAcentral is "partial 16S ribosomal RNA". It matches the Rfam family "Bacterial small subunit ribosomal RNA", at positions 524 to 776 of the family's 1533-position model. RNAcentral also lists the same sequence under 1 other name. The record is from RNAcentral.